This 300-nucleotide unclassified non-coding RNA is filed under the name Phylloporus sp. RNAcentral describes it as "partial contains small subunit ribosomal RNA and internal transcribed spacer 1". The stretch from base 1 to 46 matches the Rfam family "Eukaryotic small subunit ribosomal RNA", at positions 1786 to 1831 of the family's 1831-position model. Lineage: Eukaryota; Fungi; Basidiomycota; Agaricomycetes; Boletales; Boletaceae. The record is from RNAcentral.
AAGUCGUAACAAGGUUUCCGUAGGUGAACCUGCGGAAGGAUCAUUAAUAAGUGCUAGGCGCCGCAAGGCAACUGGCCCAGUGUCGCGGUGCGGACCCUCACCGGUCCGUAUGGUGCUGGAGAUUCGUCUCAGGCACUCUUGUGCGGGGAGAGAAAUCUUCGUUGCGCAAGCCGGGGCAUAACCCCCACCCUAUGUUAAUUCUACCUUUGUUGCUUUGGCGGGCCGCGCUUCAGCGCUCUCGGCUCCGGCUGAGACGUGCCCGCCAGAGGACCCAACUCUUGAUUUUAGUGAUGUCUGAGU